RNAcentral lists this transfer RNA (67 nucleotides) under Curculionidae sp. KM-2017. Its description in RNAcentral is "tRNA-Phe". Lineage: Eukaryota; Metazoa; Arthropoda; Insecta; Coleoptera; Curculionidae. The record is from RNAcentral.
ACUUAAAUAGCUUAUAAUAAGAGCAUAGUAUUGAAGAUACUAAGGAAAUACAAAUUAUUUUUAAGUA